This 207-nucleotide ribosomal RNA is filed under the name Escherichia coli. RNAcentral describes it as "partial 16S ribosomal RNA". It matches the Rfam family "Bacterial small subunit ribosomal RNA", at positions 1 to 215 of the family's 1533-position model. RNAcentral also lists the same sequence under 4 other names. The record is from RNAcentral. Lineage: Bacteria; Pseudomonadati; Pseudomonadota; Gammaproteobacteria; Enterobacterales; Enterobacteriaceae.
AAAUUGAAGAGUUUGAUCAUGGCUCAGAUUGAACGCUGGCGGCAGGCCUAACACAUGCAAGUCGAACGGUAACAGGAAGCAGCUUGCUGCUUCGCUGACGAGUGGCGGACGGGUGAGUAAUGUCUGGGAAACUGCCUGAUGGAGGGGGAUAACUACUGGAAACGGUAGCUAAUACCGCAUAACGUCGCAAGACCAAAGAGGGGGACC